GUGGUGUUUGGAUCGUCCCUGCCGGCUGGCUCCGUGCCCGUCCACCGAACGGUCUUGCAGGCGAUCCGCUUCGGUCGUGCGGGGUGGUAUGGUUCCUCCGAGUCCGGUUCUUGUGCUGCCUACCCCUUCAAGGGAAGCGGGCCACUUAAUGCAAAAGCCUCCAUCCGGCGCCCUGCAGUGGGCGCAGGAGGACAACCGAGCACCCCCCGCGUUCCACCGAGCCUUCCCGGUCGUGUGGCCCGCGGGGACGUGCGAUGCUCUCGGACCCAGCGAACGCCGUGGGCGAGGACUCACGUCCCAGUCCCAAAGAGAAGCUUCGAUAUAAUGCAUGACGGCCGCUCCCGUCCCCCGACCGCCCCGGCGGCGAGGGGGCGAGGCGCGGCGUCGCGGAGGAAUGCUACCUGGUUGAUCCUGCCAGUAGUCAUAUGCUUGUCUCAAAGAUUAAGC
Molecule: unclassified non-coding RNA, 447 nt
Filed under: Acacia peuce
Lineage: Eukaryota; Viridiplantae; Streptophyta; Magnoliopsida; Fabales; Fabaceae
Description: partial external transcribed spacer
Rfam family: Eukaryotic small subunit ribosomal RNA (bases 399-447)
Source: RNAcentral